This 406-nucleotide ribosomal RNA is filed under the name uncultured bacterium. RNAcentral describes it as "partial 16S ribosomal RNA". It matches the Rfam family "Bacterial small subunit ribosomal RNA", at positions 30 to 526 of the family's 1533-position model. The record is from RNAcentral.
AUUGAACGCUGGCGGCAGGCCUAACACAUGCAAGUCGAACGAGUGGCGGACGGGUGAGUCAUGUCUGGGAAACUGCCUGAUGGAGGGGGAUAACUACUGGAAACGGUAGCUAAUACCGCAUACCAUCAGAUGUGCCACGAUGGGAUUAGCUAGUGGGUGGGGUAACAGCUCACCAAGGCGAAGCUCCCUAGCUGGUCUGAGAGGAUGACCAGCCACACUUGAACUGAGACACGGUCCAGACUCCUACGGGAGGCAGCAGUGGGGAAUAUUGCACAAUGGGCGCAAGCCUGAUGCAGCCAUGCCGCGUGUAUGAAGAAGGCCUUCGGGUUGUAAAGUACUUUCAGCGGGGAGGCGUUACCCGCAGAAGAAGCACCGGCUAACUCCGUGCCAGCAGCCGCGGUAAUUC